Long non-coding RNA from Cynoglossus semilaevis (tongue sole), 576 nucleotides. RefSeq lists it as uncharacterized. The transcript has 3 exons. The record is from RefSeq and is a predicted model, not a curated record. Lineage: Eukaryota; Metazoa; Chordata; Actinopteri; Pleuronectiformes; Cynoglossidae.
UUUAAAAACAUGUUGAGAGUUGCUUUUAGUCAGGUCUGAGUUCAUCCUUGGACACUCUGGACGCGUCCUGAAGGAAGAGGAGGACAGAAGAACUUUGAGAGUCCAGAAGUGGAGACUGAGUAGUUUCACUAUCAGCUUACUGAUAGGAGCCUCCUCAAUGCUGUCUCCUUGUCUCUGCUUAUCAACACUAAUUAAAACAUUUGGAUUCUCCUGCAGCUGCUCUGGAGGAGUAUGUGUCCGUCUGAGCAUGUAUGUGUGGGAGACAUGAGAGCGGAGAGGAGUCUGAGGAAGGAAAUGUAUCAGCUUGAAGGACUUCCUGUCCAUCUAUGGUGAACGGGGGCCUCAGCAAAUAACACACAGGCUGCGUCGGCAGAUGUGUGUGAAGGGGUCAACACUGUGCCGUGUGGACGUCCUCAUCACACCAUCCUGCAACAAUGACAACAAGCCUCAGUUCCACGGACUGGGUGUGCGCCGGGAUGCCGAACAUUUCCACGGGCAAACCGGAGCCCGCCAGCCGCUCCGGUACCGUCAUGGCGCUGAGGUAGGACAUCCUGUCCUGGGUCUCUGAGAGCCCGG